CGCUAAUCCUUACACACUGACCGGAAGUGUACACAGUCAUACAUUUAGUUGAUUUUAAAUCUCUAUGAGCGCAUAAAGUACAUGAUUAAUGUCAAUAAUUAGAAUAAUUUAGUAACGGAACGCUCGUGUGCCGCUUUAACCCGUUAAACGCAUGCGCGCACACAGCACGUUGUUUGGUUGCCCUGGUAACCAGAAGACGAACGCGGGCCAAAAUGGAGAGGCAGUCUCACAGCUCGGCGCUUGCUCUGUUUGAAUCAGAUCUGCAGGAGCGAAGACAAAGGCUGAAGGAGCAGCUGCAGGCAGAAGAACAGAACUUUAUUCAGGAGCUGCAGAAGAAGAAGGAGGUGGAAAAAGAGGAAGAGAAGAAGAAGAGGAGAGAGCGGGUGAUCGAGCUGAGAGAGCGAAGGGAGAGAGAGAGAGAGCAGCUGGUUACACACAAACUGGAACAACUGUUCAGGCAGAGCUCGGAGCAGCGUGACAUUGAGACGACCCUGAGGCAGCAGCAGGGGUGGGCGGAGCUUCAGGCUCAGGUGAAGCAGAGAAAGGAGGCGUGUGAUUGGAGGAUGAAGGAGCAGCGUGCGUUUGAGGAGCUGUGGGAGUCUGACAGGAGAGCCAAGGAGGAGCGCCACAGGAGGGAGGAGGAGGAGAGGAGGGAGAGACAAACUCAGCUCCAGCACGAGCUGCGUCUGCAGAGAGAAGAG
RNAcentral lists this long non-coding RNA (701 nucleotides) under Gouania willdenowi (blunt-snouted clingfish). RNAcentral's name for it is "lncRNA (ENSGWIG00000008043.1)". Lineage: Eukaryota; Metazoa; Chordata; Actinopteri; Blenniiformes; Gobiesocidae. The record is from RNAcentral.